This 469-nucleotide long non-coding RNA is filed under the name Coturnix japonica (Japanese quail). RNAcentral's name for it is "lncRNA (ENSCJPG00005001906.1)". Lineage: Eukaryota; Metazoa; Chordata; Aves; Galliformes; Phasianidae. The record is from RNAcentral.
GCAAGCUCUAUCCGGCCCUAUAAGAGCCUGGGUUGCCCGUUAGGUCAUCCCACCACCCCAAUGGAAGGGAGAUCCCAUUGGGUGGUGGCCAGUAUUCUCCCAUCUGACCCUAUAAGAGCCUGGGGUCCCUUUUAGGGUCAUCUCCCCCUCCAGUGGAAGGGGCCAGCACCUCCAUCCAACCCUAUAAGAUCUGGGGGUCCCCAUUUAGGGUCAUCCCCCCCCCCAAUGGAAGGGAGAUCCUAUAGGGGGGUCCAGCACCUCCACCUGACCCUAUAAGAGCCUGGGGUCCCCUUUAGGGUCAUUCCCCCCUCCCCCAAUGGAAGGGAGAUCCUACAGGGGGGGCAGCACCUCCAUACGGCCCUAUAGGAGCCUGGGGGUCCCCUAUAGGGUCAUCCAUCCCCCCCAAUGGAAGGGGCCAGCAGCUCUAUCCGGCCCUAUAAGAGCCUUGGGGUCCCCCUUUUAGGGUCAU